AACGCGAAGAACCUUACCCAGACUUGACAUGCAGUGGAAGUUUGUAGAGAUACAAACGCCCUUCGGAGCCGCUGCACAGGUGCUGCAUGGCUGUCGUCAGCUCGUGCCGUGAGGUGUUGGGUUAAGUCCCGCAACGAGCGCAACCCUUAUCGUUAGUUGCCAACAGGUAAUGCUGGGAACUCUAGCGAGACUGCCUGGGUUAACCAGGAGGAAGGUGAGGAUGACGUCAAGUCCGCAUGGCCCUUAUGUCUGGGGCUACACACGUGCUACAAUGGUCGGUACAGAAGGCAGGGAAGCCGCGAGGUGAAGCAAAUCCAAGAAAGCCGAUCUCAGUUCAGAUUGUAGUCUGCAACUCGACUACAUGAAGACGGAAUUGCUAGUAAUGGCGAGUCAGCAACAUCGCCGUGAAUACGUUCCCGGGUCUUGUACACACGC
This 435-nucleotide ribosomal RNA is filed under the name uncultured bacterium. RNAcentral describes it as "bacterial SSU rRNA". It matches the Rfam family "Bacterial small subunit ribosomal RNA", at positions 958 to 1393 of the family's 1533-position model. The record is from RNAcentral.